UGCAAGUCGAGCGAUGAAGCUUCCUUCGGGAAGUGGAUUAGCGGCGGACGGGUGAGUAACACGUGGGUAACCUGCCUCAAGUGGGGGAUAGCCUUCCGAAAGGAAGAUUAAUACCGCAUAACAUAAGAGAAUCGCAUGAUUUUCUUAUCAAAGAUUUAUUGCUUUGAGAUGGACCCGCGGCGCAUUAGCUAGUUGGUAAGGUAACGGCUUACCAAGGCAACGAUGCGUAGCCGACCUGAGAGGGUGAUCGGCCACAUUGGAACUGAGACACGGUCCAGACUCCUACGGGAGGCAGCAGUGGGGAAUAUUGCGCAAUGGGGGAAACCCUGACGCAGCAACGCCGCGUGGGUGAUGAAGGUCUUCGGAUUGUAAAGCCCUGUUUUCUGGGACGAUAAUGACGGUACCAGAGGAGGAAGCCACGGCUAACUACGUGCCAGCAGCCGCGGUAAUACGUAGGUGGCGAGCGUUGUCCGGAUUUACUGGGCGUAAAGGGUGCGUAGGCGGAUGUUUAAGUGGGAUGUGAAAUCCCCGGGCUUAACCUGGGGGCUGCAUUCCAAACUGGAUAUC
This 567-nucleotide ribosomal RNA is filed under the name Clostridium sp. TDGB409. RNAcentral's name for it is "bacterial SSU rRNA". It matches the Rfam family "Bacterial small subunit ribosomal RNA", at positions 56 to 641 of the family's 1533-position model. Lineage: Bacteria; Bacillati; Bacillota; Clostridia; Eubacteriales; Clostridiaceae. The record is from RNAcentral.